Molecule: long non-coding RNA, 243 nt
Filed under: Mytilus galloprovincialis (Mediterranean mussel)
Lineage: Eukaryota; Metazoa; Mollusca; Bivalvia; Mytilida; Mytilidae
Source: RNAcentral
AAAAUAUGAUAUCGUAGUGUAUUUCAAAUUUUAUUCAAGAAUUCAUAUCUUAAAUGAAAAAUUAAACAAUACUGAAAGAGAUUUGAGAAACUUUCGUCAACUCCUAUGACAGAAGAACAUAACUCUUAACUAUUGGUGUGUUAUUCAAUCUCAUACUGUGUUAAAGGAAUGUUGGUUUGUAGACGGCAAAUCGUAGUAUUGAACAAGAAUUAUCAUUUUCUCAACCUAUUAUCUUGUUUCAAC